Molecule: transfer RNA, 69 nt
Filed under: Fergusonina taylori (eucalypt gall-forming fly)
Lineage: Eukaryota; Metazoa; Arthropoda; Insecta; Diptera; Fergusoninidae
Description: tRNA-Trp
Rfam family: tRNA
About the family: Transfer RNA (tRNA) molecules are approximately 80 nucleotides in length. Their secondary structure includes four short double-helical elements and three loops (D, anti-codon, and T loops).
Source: RNAcentral
AAGGCUUUAGGUUAAAAAAACCUUUAGCCUUCAAAGCUAAAAAUAUAAGUCAAAUCCUUUUAAGUCUUA